Molecule: microRNA precursor, 97 nt
Filed under: Nicotiana sylvestris (wood tobacco)
Lineage: Eukaryota; Viridiplantae; Streptophyta; Magnoliopsida; Solanales; Solanaceae
Also listed under: 1 other name
Description: MIR6152 microRNA precursor family
Rfam family: MIR6152 microRNA precursor family
Source: Rfam by way of RNAcentral
UGGACAAAUUAUUGUAUUCGAUUGUAUUAACGACAUGAAAUAGAGGAUUACACUGUUUUUAAAACGGAAAGUGAAUUAAUUAACAUAAUAGACUCCU